Molecule: ribosomal RNA, 434 nt
Filed under: uncultured Ruminococcus sp.
Lineage: Bacteria; Bacillati; Bacillota; Clostridia; Eubacteriales; Oscillospiraceae
Description: bacterial SSU rRNA
Rfam family: Bacterial small subunit ribosomal RNA
Source: RNAcentral
ACGGGAGGCAGCAGUGGGGAAUAUUGCACAAUGGGCGCAAGCCUGAUGCAGCGAUGCCGCGUGAGGGAAGAAGGUUUUCGGAUUGUAAACCUCUGUUGACAGGGACGAUAAUGACUGUACCUGUUCAGAAAGCUCCGGCUAACUACGUGCCAGCAGCCGCGGUAAUACGUAGGGAGCGAGCGUUGUCCGGAAUUACUGGGUGUAAAGGGAGUGUAGGCGGGACUGUAAGUCAGAUGUGAAAAUUAGGGGCUCAACCCCUAACCUGCAUUUGAAACUGUGGUUCUUGAGUGAAGUAGAGGUAAGCGGAAUUCCUAGUGUAGCGGUGAAAUGCGUAGAUAUUAGGAGGAACAUCAGUGGCGAAGGCGGCUUACUGGGCUUUAACUGACGCUGAGGCUCGAAAGCGUGGGGAGCAAACAGGAUUAGAUACCCUGGUA